CGCGGCCUAUCAGCUUGUUGGUGGGGUAAUGGCCCACCAAGGCGACGACGGGUAGCCGGCCUGAGAGGGCGACCGGCCACACUGGGACUGAGACACGGCCCAGACUCCUACGGGAGGCAGCAGUGGGGAAUAUUGCGCAAUGGGCGGAAGCCUGACGCAGCGACGCCGCGUGAGGGAUGAAGGCCUUCGGGUCGUAAACCCCUUUCAGCAGGGAAGAAGCGAAAGUGACGGUACCUGCAGAAGAAGCACCGGCUAACUACGUGCCAGCAGCCGCGGUAAUACGUAGGGUGCAAGCGUUGUCCGGAAUUAUUGGGCGUAAAGAGCUCGUAGGCGGUCUGUCGCGUCUGCUGUGAAAACUCAGGGCUUAACCCUGAGCUUGCAGUGGGUACGGGCAGACUAGAGUGCGGUAGGGGAGACUGGAAUUCCUGGUGUAGCGGUGAAAUGCGCAGAUAUCAGGAGGAACACCGGUGGCGAAGGCGGGUCUCUGGGCCGUAACUGACGCUGAGGAGCGAAAGCAUGGGGAGCGAACAGGAUUAGAUACCCUGGUAGUCCAUGCCGUAAACGUUGGGCGCUAGGUGUGGGGACCUUUCCAUGGUUUCCGUGCCGCAGCUAACGCAUUAAGCGCCCCGCCUGGGGAGUACGG
Molecule: ribosomal RNA, 643 nt
Filed under: uncultured bacterium
Lineage: Bacteria
Description: bacterial SSU rRNA
Rfam family: Bacterial small subunit ribosomal RNA
Source: RNAcentral